CAUUCUCACUCUUCAACUCAACCUGUUCUUCAUUUCCUUUUCCUUCUUCUUUGGAUCAACUCUUUUCUUCUCUCUUCUUUUGUUUCAUCGCCGCUAUCUGUUGAUAUUAUUACGAAAUUGAAUGUUCUGUUAAUUGUUUCAAUCUGUUCUCCGGAUCCAGACAACCUGAUGAACCUUCAACAGUAAAUAUGGAUUCAAUGUUUGAAUCGAGAUAUGAAUCAGUCCAUUCAUCAAUAGAAGCCAUCAAAUGUGGUUUACUUCAAUCAACUCAGAAUUUAUUUUGAAUAUUUUUUCAUGAUGUUCAUUGGAAUGAACUGGAUCCACAGAUCAGGUAUUUGCUACUUCUGUAUUUACCAGUAUCUUCAUCCUCAUCUUCACCAACUCGUCCCACUAAUCAUCAUUAAGCUUCUUUCAACUUGAUUAUUACCAUUAUUACUGUUUACCCCUGGCUUCAAUUGUAACUCAGACCAGAUUAAAUUUACUUAUGAGAAGAUUGAAAUUUUUUUUUCUUCUCCGUUUUUCCUUCUUUCACUGUAUUUUUUUAUUCCAAUCAUUUGGCAGCAACAACAACCUCAUGGGAUCGAUCAAAAUGUUUCACGAAAUUCAUUACCUUAUUUCCUUGAAGCAGUUUAUUUAAUUAAACAUGGACAGUGUUAAUCAA
Long non-coding RNA from Tetranychus urticae (two-spotted spider mite), 661 nucleotides. RefSeq lists it as uncharacterized. The record is from RefSeq and is a predicted model, not a curated record. NCBI's taxonomy places the organism in Eukaryota, Metazoa, Arthropoda, Arachnida, Trombidiformes, Tetranychidae.